Frankliniella occidentalis (western flower thrips) is the source of this 4321-nucleotide long non-coding RNA. RefSeq lists it as uncharacterized. Lineage: Eukaryota; Metazoa; Arthropoda; Insecta; Thysanoptera; Thripidae. The transcript is spliced from 7 exons. The record is from RefSeq and is a predicted model, not a curated record.
CGCUCCACUCCAGCCUCGUGGCCCUCGCGAUUCACUUGCGCCCGGUGUUUUCCGACUUUCGUGUAUGUUGUCUUUGGUCACUUUUUCAUCUCAGAUUUGCUGGUCUACCUCUGGCGCUGGGAUGAACAAGUGAGGUCAAAAGGGCGUUUCAACAACCGGUGUUGAACGGAAGUGAAAGUGAUCGCGAAGUCAUUCGGCCCCGUGUGGCUGAUUUGACUGUUUUUGCACCCGUACUUGUGUCAUCUGUAACCGUUCCACUCGGCUGCCCGCCCCACCGUGGCUUUGUGCGCCCCUCGGGUUUUGAUUCCGACUUUCGCGUAUGUUCUUUUGCUCACUUUUUCACCUCAGGUUUACUGGUUAAUCUCCAGUUCUGGGACGAACAAGUGAGGCAAACAAGGCGUUUGUCCUUGUUGAACGGGACUGAAGCGAGCCCAGUCAUGCGGCCCCCGCUGUCCUACAGGCGCCGGCUCGCCCCGCCCCGCCGCGGCAGCUCUUAUUUUGACCCUUUUGACUGGAGGCAGAAGCCGUUUGGUGCCCGGUGCUGCCCCGGCUCGCCUGGCGCGGAUGCGAUAUAUGGUGAGCGAUAUAACCGGGCUGCCUGACCGUCGUCUGCGCCAGGGAGGGUGGUUGCGCACCGUGUUUUGUUUUGUUCUCUCCGUCCUUGUCGCACUCCGCUGCCACCAUGAGGGAGAGGGCACGCGUAAACACAGUGUGGGAUCGCCCUGCAGAUCUGUGGGCCUCGCUCGGCAUUCAAACGUCUUGUACUUCGAGCCUGUUUGGUCGGCACCGAUGUUUCGGUGUCCCUAGCUAGCGGCCACGUCGCGCCCGUGCGCUCGCGUAGAGCUCGCACAGGGAAUGACCUCUGUGCCCCGUGCAGUCUGACACUGUUACGCCCAAAGCAUUCUUUCGCGAAACGCGUGGUCUGCGCCCGCGGACCACAGCCCGGCCCCUUCGGUUUGUUUGUCCCCUCGUGUGCAUCGCCAGCAAGAGGAGCCCACGACGUGUCCUCCGGCCGCCGAUGCCCCGCCCCGUCCAAGCCGACUUCAACCGCAUCCACCUGGGCGAGCGCUGAGGCGGUGGCAUGGUCGCAGCUCAUGCCGCUGCCAACAAGGUAGGCCUCGUCUUUCGCCGCUAGAGUUUGUGUACAAUCGCUUUUUGUUUGGUCGCUCCACUUGUUCAGAUCUCUCUCACAGCCGAGUAUGGCGCCCUGUUACCCAAAGCCCAGUACGGCACUUAAUUUCUUUAUAUAAAGUUUCAGGUCUACUUAGCGAUACGUAACUUUGUUAGGGGGCUACAACUUCCAAAGGGUACUCAUCUCAAAUACACAACAAAGCUCAUUAAUGACUGCAUUGACAUUGUCGAACAAUGCUCUCAAGUCCUUUCGCGCCGUUUUGCUGCAGUCCGUGUUCAUUUUCCGCGAUCGCUCGGCGAUGUUUAACAGCUCACGUCGGGAUCGGAAGUUUAAUAGGGUAUUUCACCUGACCCAAACCAGAUCCAAAGAAGAACAAGAGUUCUUCCUGAACUCUUUCCUCGUUGGCGCUCAUUGGCUGAUGCCGACGAAGUUCUCGGACCGGACACUAGGGGUCGACCGCCCUUGCGGCCAGCUCAUGAACUUCGUCGGCGUCAGCCAAUCAGAGCAAGGGAGGAAAGAGUUCAGGAAGAACUCUUGUUUUUCUUUGAAUCCGGUUUGCGUCAGGUGAAGUACCCUAUUGUAUUUUCAUUUAACUUAAAGAUUUCAUCAACCGCGAUAUCAUUUAAUUUAAAUUUUAUCCACCGCGAUAUCAUUUAAAGUUUUAUCAACCGCGAUUUAUUAUAACCUAUUUUAAAUUUCAUAACUUUACGAAGACUUUGGGGAACAUUCUUCACUCCUCAAGGUCAGUCGUGUGUCCCAUUAGAUCGUCGUUAUGCUUUGUUUUGAGCCUAAUUUCUUAUAUAUUGUCCUAGCACUAGAGCCAGGCCCCCGCUGCUGUUUGACUCCGUCUCGACUCGGACGCAGCCCUAGGGCUAAGCAGGUGUGUCGCUGCGAGCGAGCUGUCUGCCCAAGCCCGCCGCCUUGUGCUGCUGAGCUACAGCGUUGACUUUAUGGGACUACCGAUCUACUGUUCCAGCUGAGAGUCGACAUCUCAACUUUGCCGUGAUGAGCCCUUCCCGCCUGGACUCUGCGUCGCUGAUGGCCGUGGUCAGCAGACUGCACAGCUGCCGCGGCCGUCGAGACCUCAGCCGCCUUCUCUGCUCUGGACUCCACCCUGGGAGAGCGCGGCCUCGUCGCCGCGGAGGGCCGCUCACGUGUCUUCAAGGUCGUCUACAAAGUAACCGUGAGGCACGCCUGCACUCGUCAGCUGCAGCAGCCGCCCGCCCCGCGCCCCCACCGGGGCCUCCGCGGGACAUCCUCUAGCCAACGUUUCAGCUCCAGUGGAACGAAUUUCAGUUAAUUUGCUAUGUUGAGAUAUGCUCGUUUCUCCAGUUGCUUUUCCAGUUCCAGGCGAGUUCCAGUACCACCCCUGUCAGCAGGAAUUCAGUGCGGUCAGCGGGGACAUCUCGACUCCAGGACCCCCGUCAACAAUCAACCCACUUCGGUCAGCUAAGGUAUCUCGACUCCAAUCGGAUCUCCAGGACUCUCCAACCUGAUAUUGGACUCCGCUUCUAACUCUGCUUUGCUGUCUCAGGGUAACCAUAAAAGGUUCAUUCUUGGUGACCAUGCCGACAGUUCCCACUACUCUAAUUUGGUGCGAAAUUAUCUGGAACCUGCCACACUUUGGAUGGAUUGGCUGCAAUAAUGUCAGAUAAUAAAUACCUUCAAUAUAUCCAGUUCGAGGCCAGUUCCAGUUCCACCCCCUGUCAUCAGGAACUCACUGCGGCCAGCGAAGACAUCUCAACCCUGAUACUUGCAAGACCUCCAGGACUACACCCCGACAUUGCUUCCUGCUUCUAACUCUGCUUUGCUGUCUCCAAGAAUAACCAGAAAAGGUUAUUUCAAUGCUCUGCUCUGCCACCGUGGAAUCCUUCUAUCUCCAAAUUUCAAGACACGCGAUUUAUUGUUCACCUUAAAUUAUUCUCUUACAUUGAGCAUUUAAGUAUAGUCAGAGUGUUUGCAUAUCAAUCUGUCCUUAUCUUUGAGUGCAGCAAGGUGUUUAUUUUCUGUACUUUGUGAAAUACGUUUGUAGCAUAUUAAUCUCUCUCAACUGUUGGACUUGCUCUUCUUGACUGACUCCCCUUCUUUGUACAUCUUUGAGCAUGAUCACCUACUUUGUUGGUUGUAGUUUUUGAAUUUAUUUUUUAGUUUGUUGCAUGUUAGUGGUUGUGAAUGUGGGGUCUAGUGUAAAUUCCAUGUGGUGUACCUCUCCUCUAUGGCAUAACAAACUAGACAGUUCCACUUCUUUCUUCUGCGCACUUAAAUAAUAUGCUCAAACAUAUUUCAUCCAAUUUAAAUUAUAAGCUAUGCACUUUUCUGGAAUUAAAUUAUUUAUUACUUUCUAUAUGUUAAGUACUGUGUCACCACUUCAGAGGCAAUUUUAGUUCUAGUUUUGUUUCUUUAACUUGUGGUGUGGAUUUUUAGCCAGUUGCAGGCUCAAACUUAUUGUGAAGGCCUCUUCCUUCGUUAUUGCCAUUUUGAUAAUUGCACUCUGCCCUCAUACUUGAUUUAGCUAGGCUUGGUAUUUUUUAUUCUAAUAACCCGUUUGUUAGCAGUUUUGGUAUUGUUAUUAUCAAAGGCCAAGAUUAGACAUUAUUGCCUUGUUAAUUAACUUGCUUCAUUUUACGGGAUUCCUAAACUUCUAGCAAUGUUCAGCCGUUUUCUAGGCAAAAGGCCGCAAUCCAUAGGGUUGCUUAUUUAACAAUUUUGUAUUGACUUGCUAUCUUUUUUUUCAAAAAGGAAAGAUGUGCUACUCUGAUAGUUGUAUCCCCGGCAGAGCGCGCCCCACAGCAGUCCUUUUCCUGUUGCCCUCACUUAUUGUGCCUGCCACUUCUGGCUUGGCUUUGAAGCAUUAAACUUUGUUCUCUAAAGCGGUCUCUUGUACUUCUAUAAUAUAUACUGUUCCACCCUCUGCCAAGUAUUGCUAGCAUUUGCAGUUGGUAUUUUAUUUGUCGAGGGAAUGACCUGUUUGUUCAACCCAGUGUGGGCUAAGCCCCCUGCAAAUCACAGGGCAGAAUUAUGAACUAUCUCUGGAGUCAUAGUUUUAAAGAUUAAUCAGAAUGGUGAGACUAGUAUUUACAAAAGUUUAAUAUGUCACAGCAAUUGAUUGAAUAAAAGCAAAGAGAAUUGCACGGCCCAGCUGCAUGCACUGUGAAUGUAAGACAAAAAUAAAGUUUGCGUGGAAAUGAC